This 301-nucleotide ribosomal RNA is filed under the name uncultured bacterium. RNAcentral describes it as "partial 16S ribosomal RNA". It matches the Rfam family "Bacterial small subunit ribosomal RNA", at positions 509 to 807 of the family's 1533-position model. The record is from RNAcentral.
CAGCCGCCGCGGUAAUACGGAGGGUGCAAGCGUUAAUCGGAAUUACUGGGCGUAAAGCGUGCGUAGGCGGUUCGUUAAGUCUGUUGUGAAAGCCCCGGGCUCAACCUGGGAAUGGCAAUGGAUACUGGCGAGCUAGAGUGUGUCAGAGGAUGGUGGAAUUCCCGGUGUAGCGGUGAAAUGCGUAGAGAUCAGGAGGAACAUCAGUGGCGAAGGCGGCCAUCUGGGACAACACUGACGCUGAGGCACGAAAGCGUGGGGAGCAAACAGGAUUAGAUACCCGGGUAGUCCCUGUCUCUUAUAC